Molecule: ribosomal RNA, 385 nt
Filed under: uncultured bacterium
Lineage: Bacteria
Description: bacterial SSU rRNA
Rfam family: Bacterial small subunit ribosomal RNA
Source: RNAcentral
AUUGAACGCUGGCGGCGUGCCUAACACAUGCAAGUCGCACGCGAAAGGGAGCAAUCCCGAGUAGAGUGGCGGACGGGUGAGUAACGCGUAGGAAUCUACCUAGUAGUGGGGGACAACCCGGCGAAAGCCGGGCUAAUACCGCAUACAACCUAAGGGUAAAAGCCGGGGAUCGCAAGACCUGGCGCUAUUAGAUGAGCCUGCGUCCGAUUAGCUAGUUGGUGAGGUAACGGCUCACCAAGGCAACGAUCGGUAACUGGUUUGAGAGAACGACCAGUCACACUGGGGACUGAGACACGGCCCAGACUCCUACGGGAGGCAGCAGUGGGGGAAUCUUGGACAAUGGGGGCAACCCUGAUCCAGCGACGCCGCGUGUGUGAAGAAGGCC